This 441-nucleotide ribosomal RNA is filed under the name uncultured bacterium. RNAcentral's name for it is "partial 16S ribosomal RNA". It matches the Rfam family "Bacterial small subunit ribosomal RNA", at positions 338 to 795 of the family's 1533-position model. The record is from RNAcentral.
CCUACGGGAGGCAGCAGUGGGGAAUAUUGCACAAUGGGGGGAACCCUGAUGCAGCGACGCCGCGUGGGUGAAGGAGUAUUUCGGUAUGUAAAGCCCUAUCAGCAGGGAAGAACAAUGCCGGUACCUGACUAAGAAGCACCGGCCAAAUACGUGCCAGCAGCAGCGGGAACACGGAGGGUGCAAGCGUUAUCCGGAUUUACUGGGUGUAAAGGGGGGGCAGGCGGCGCGUUAAGCCUGGUGUGAAAGUCCGCGGCCCAACCGCGGGACUGCCUUGGACACUGGCGCGCUGGAGUGCAGGAGGGGUAGGCGGAAUUCCUAGUGUAGCGGUGAAAUGCGUAGAUAUUAGGAGGAACACCAGUGGCGAAGGCGGCCUACUGGACGGUGACUGACGCUGAGGCUCGAAAGCGUGGGGAGCAAACAGGAUUAGAUACCCGGGUAGUC